Molecule: ribosomal RNA, 269 nt
Filed under: uncultured prokaryote
Description: partial 16S ribosomal RNA
Rfam family: Bacterial small subunit ribosomal RNA
Source: RNAcentral
UACGUAGGGGCUAGCGUUAUCCGGAAUUACUGGGCGUAAAGGGUGCGUAGGCGGUCUUUCAAGCCAGAAGUGAAAGGCUACGGCUCAACCGUAGUAAGCUUUUGGAACUGUAAGACUUGAGUGCAGGAGAGGAGAGUGGAAUUCCUAGUGUAGCGGUGGAAUGCGUAGAUACUGGUAGGAACACCCAUUGCGAAGGCAGCUCGCUGGACAGCACGUGACGCUGAGGCGCGAAAGUGUGGGGAGCAAACCGGAUUAGAUACCCUGGUAGU